UCUUUUUCACAAUGGCAUGUGCAGCUCUCAAAAACAGAAACCCAAAGGUGAGAGCUAAGCUAGAGUCCUGCAAAGUAUUUCUAUAAAGCUAAUAUGACAUGGGGAAGAACCUGCCUUGACAUUGUGUAUCAGGUGUGGAAAAUCAUGGCCCUCUGAAUGUUGCUGAACAUUAAUCAAUUCAUUAAAGGAUGUUUGGGAUCUCAGUGCUUCCAGUUCCCAACUUUGCCCCAAUAUGGAAUACAACAUGGUAUCUAUACUGACAACAUGGGCCAAUGGUCUCUUCCUUGUUAUCUGUUCUUUUCUUUUCAAAAUUGUAUACUGGGAUUUGAAGCGCAGCUAUUGUGAGGCAAAUUCGAAACACGACUAUGAUUCUUUACAAAUUGGUCUGUGGCAUCUACUCUAGACUAGACUAGAGAAGGAUCUAGUCUUGAUGUACAAGUUGCCACAACUCAGUUCUUAGUAUUUCCAAUUUGAGGGAUGCAACUGAAUUUUGCUACAAUUGAAUUCCUGAGGCAGUUUUUGAGGUCUCUUCUUGGGCAAGAACAUCCAGAUAAUUUUGAAAGCAGCUAACAGCUUUGAUGAAGUGAGAACAUUUUCUUGUACUAUGUGUAUGUGUUGCUUUAACUGUUACUAAAUAUGUGCGAUUUCGAAGUUAUAGGCUGACAGAAAUUGGAAUGAUAAACAUUAUGAGUACAAUUAAUGGACCCUGGAGUGCUGACACACUCAGUAGCUGCACAAUUAUCAUAAGAGCAGGGAAAUUACUUAAUAAUGGGACCAUAGAAUAUCACUGUGCUAUCUCCUGUGCUGCUGUGCAGUUCUGGCAUGUGCCACAUUAACAAAUAUAGGCCUUCCUUCUAUAUCUUACCUGCAUAAGAUUUGACAGCCAAACAGAAAGCAACUGCCUAGUCCUGCAUUGUGACAUAAUUCAGAACUGACCAUGUAAUGAGGCAGAAUGAGGCAGCUGGAAAGGCUACAGCUGUUGGGGAGUAGAGAGUAGGGGGCUCUGCUUAUACAUUGGACUCUCGGGUUGCGAACGUGAUCCAUGCGGGAUGCACGUUUGCAACCUGCAGCAUCCGCAACCCGCAGCGGCGCGUCUGCGCACACAUGAGUUGUGAUUCUGUGCUUCUGCGCAUGCACAAAGUGCAAUUUAGUGCUUCUGAGCAUACGCGACUGCCGAAACCCAGAAGUAACCCGUUCUGGUACUUCCAGUUUUCGGCGGUCUGUAACCCGAAGAAACGCAACCUGAAGCAUCUGUAACCCAAGGUAUGACUGUAAUUUACUUAUUUGAUUUGGGCAGAUUUACACACACAAAAAGGAAGCAUUUUUAAUGUAUAUUAUUAUGUUUUUAUAUAUGUUGCAAGCCGCCCAGAGUAGCUGCGGCAACCCAGUCAGAUGGACAGGGUACAAAUAAUAAAAUGAUGAUGAUGAUGAUGAUUAAGUUUCAUAGUACCAUAGAAUUGUAGAGUUGGAAGGAACCCUGAGGAUCAUCUAGUUCAACCCCCUGCAAUGCAGGAAUAUGCAGCUGUCACAUACGGGGAUCAAACCUGCAAUCUUGCAGCUAUUGAGCUAUCCAGGCUCUCAAGCAAAAUGGUGCAAGCAAAUGAUACUUUGAGAAUCCUUUUGAGUGCCUGCAGCCUAAAGAGCUUUAUAGGCCUUUCUAGGUUUCUUAAGAUACAAAUACAAAAAACCUCAACAACAAUACAUGUUUGUUGCAAUGGUUAGCAAACAGGCAUGGCGUUUGGCAAUGGGCUCCACAGCAUGUCUAAAAUGGAAAAAUGAGGUGGCCUUGAUAGACCCCUUGAGGCAAGCUAUUUAUUUAUCAGUGUUAUAGGUCUUCUCAUCCUGCCUGCUCCCAACAAAUAGCACUUGUGGCUACUGAGUAUGCUCAGUCCUCAGGGUUUUCUUUCCUUCUCUUGGCUUUUGAAGAAGUUUAUUUGUUUCUACUUCUGUGAACCUUAGGGCUCCCCUAAAUCUGUUGAUACCUCCCUCUUGUGCAUAGAUGUUGCCAGUUUGACUGUUCGAUGAUCAGCCCUCGAGAGAAUGAAUUCCCUAUGAGUGUCUAUGCAAUGGAGCCCGGUUUUUAAAAAUUCCUCACACUAGCUACAUCUCAGGAAGAUCUUAUAAGAAAGCCAGGCCUUCUGCCUAGAUCCUGAAGCACAAAAAACAGGAGUCCAUAGAACCAGCCAAGUAUGUGAACACACUGGUAUUUAUUGUGAUAAAUGUUGUUUAUGUACACACUCCCAGGAAAUGAACUGAGACUACAGCUUGCUCAGUCGCAUUUUUAACAGUGGAGAAUCUGAACAAUCAUCAGGCUAAAAGGUAUAUGGAGAUUAAUAGGGUUCAUUUUUCUUAAGAAAGAUUGUAUUUAUUAAACCAUUAUAGGAAUUUAGGUGGAGAUAACCUGUGUGAGAAUUCAGAUUAAUGAUUUGGCAAUGAAUAAUCAACUGCGGAUGUACCAAACUCCAGAGAAAAUAAAAUCGUUGAAGGCUGGUGUGAUGGCUAUUUGGUCUUAGAAUGAGCACACAGGUUAGUCAAGAGCACCUUUGCAUGCUAUUCUUAUAAAGCAGCAUAAUCAAGGGACAAUGAGGCUGAUAGGAGCCAACUCCUCCAAUAAAAUAUUUGAAGGGGCUGCCCCCAGUUGAUGGGCAUUGCUAUUCAAAUGGUGUUUGUGCAGCACAUCAUGUGAUCAGUUAUGUGGGUUGGGGAUUACUUGCCCCCCCCCAAUAUUUUAUUCAAGUUGGCACCCUGAUGAGCCUGCACAAUUGCCCCUCCCCCUAAGGGCACAUGGCUUCCCAUACCUCUGACAUCCGUGUUAUGUUUUCUCUUCCUCCGUCUCAUGCCUCCUCUUCCAACUCCAACUUUCUUGCCAGGAAACACUCUUGACAGACACCUCCCAUUAGCCAUUAACAUCAGGGGGUGGGAGUCAAGGAAGCAGAAGAGACCUCCUGAUGCAUUAGCACAGUGUCAGUGGUGGUGAGCUUUGCCUUUGUGAUACAGAGCGCAGGCACCACUGAACAUUUUCUGUCGAGAUACUUCCAUUUUUUACUGAGAUAAUGUAUGUGUCACACUCUGAAUGCUCAGCAAAUCAGCAAAGAAAUGCUUACUGUUAUCAUUAGUAGUGCCAGCUAAAAGCCUGUCAAGUUGAAAUGAUGGGAGAGGAAUGGAGAGCUCCCCAUUCUUUCCUUUGCCUGACACCCAGCCCUCCCAUCCAUCACAGAGGCCAUUUACACUGGGAAAGCAAAGAGCUGGGGCCUGGCAUGCUUCCCCCAACCUACAGUUGGUUCCUCAAACUGAAUACGGCCUACAGACUAGGCCCAGAGGAACUAUGGAAUGGUUAUCCCCUCCAGACUCCUCAUUGUCCGCUUCCUGCUUCUUGAAACUAAUCCCUGUUUUGUGUGUGUUGUGGAUGACAGAGACACAUUGUCCCUCUCUCAUAGUCCUGGACUUUAGGAUGGAGAAGAUGCAUACUGUUUCCAUUGCAUGUGUUUCCUGGUCACCUACUGUCAGGGUUGUGAGUAACCCCCCCCCCCAUACAUACAUACACACACACACACCAUAACCAAGAAUUGAUUUCUCCAUGGGAAUGAGUGAUACCUAACAUGCACACAGCAGAAAGUAAACGGGUCCCUUGGGAACAGAGUGCGGACUAAAUCUGCUUCCUGCCCCUGGUGAACCCAGCUACUGAGAAUCAAGAGAAUCACGGUUUGGAUUUUGUUUGUUCAUCACGCUAUAGUAUAGCACAAUAUGACAUUAAGGGAUGGGGUAGGAUAUGAGGGGCCUCGUUUUUUUCAUCUAUAGGUUUAACUGAACACAACUGCUUUGGACUCGGACCACCCAUGCAGUAUGCUUUUCUUUAAGGCAGGGGUGUGAGAACUUCAGGCCCUUAGGCUAAAUAUGGUCCCCAGGUCCCUUUAUCUAGUCAUUGAGAAUCUUCCCAGACACAAACUUCCCCAGCUACAUCUCCUCUCCCGCUCUGCUGUAUACCCACUUUGAGUGUGUUUUCCACAUUGGAUUGCAUCCUUAAACCAUGAUAAUGCCUCUUGCUUGCCCAAAUGCAGGAUAGUGUGUGUGUGUGUGUGUGUGUGUGUGCGCACGCGCACUCACUCGCACACCAAGCCCUUUUUGUGUGCCUGAAAUGUAGCCUACUAUAUGAAGAUAAGAAAUCCCAUCCAUUGCCCACCCACUUUCUUCUCUAGCUGCAGCCACCAGUGGAAUUUGCACUCUGGACACCAUACCCUCCAAUAUUCUGCCAAUUAAAAUUGGGACAGGCGUCUUUCUGUGCUGUGCUUUCCUGCGAGCCAGCUGGUGCUUCCCUGUCCCAGCCCCCUGUUUCUGUUACGGACAGCAGCUCCCUCAGCAAGCAUCACAAGAGCACCUCCAGCUCUUCCUCUUCUUCCUUGUUAUCAUCCUCUUCUCCAUUGGCUUCUCCUCCUCUGGUGGGGGUGGCCUGGCCUUCGCCCCAACCACCUCCCCCUCCCUAGGCUGUAAAUUGGGUGCCUUCCUUCAUGCGAAAGACAUGUAUCUUUUGGUGCCAAGCUCUUGUGGGAGAGCUUGGUGCCGAAAAUGGGUCAUCCAGUCAGAAGCUGGAGUGGCUUCUGUAAUUCUGAAAGAUUUAUAUGAUCUGAGGUGAAACCAGAGUAUGGCUUCUGUAAUUCUGGGAUGUCCCGGUCAAAUCGUGUUGACAGGUAUGGGAUGACUGUGAAUGAGAAAAUUUGGCCGCUGGGCUGAAAAAAAAUCCUCAUCUGUGUAAGAAACCCAUCCACACAAGUUCUUGCCUUCAAUGUCUUUUCAUUUAUAUAGAUAUAGAUAUUGAUUUGUAUCUGGAAGUUCUACUGAGUGGGUGUUUAAUCUUACCUAUAUACAAGCAGGUGAUUCUCAUUCAGAAAAAUCUCCAUCGCUGCCAG
Molecule: non-coding RNA, 4904 nt
Organism: Podarcis lilfordi (Lilford's wall lizard)
Lineage: Eukaryota; Metazoa; Chordata; Lepidosauria; Squamata; Lacertidae
Source: the annotation of a GenBank genome assembly